GAUGAAGAACGUAGCGAAAUGCGAUAAGUAAUGUGAAUUGCAGAAUUCAGUGAAUCAUCGAAUCUUUGAACGCACAUUGCGCCCGCCAGUAUUCUGGCGGGCAUGCCUGUUCGAGCGUCAUUACAACCCUCAGGCCCCCGGGCCUGGCGUUGGGGAUCGGCGGAAGCCCCCUGCGGGCACAACGCCGUCCCCCAAAUACAGUGGCGGUCCCGCCGCAGCUUCCAUUGCGUAGUAACUAACACCUCGCAACUGGAGAGCGGCGCGGCCACGCCGUAAAACACCCAACUUCUGAAUGUUGACCUCGAAUCAGGUAGGAAUACCCGCUGAACUUAAGCAUAUCAAUAAGCGGAGGA
Molecule: unclassified non-coding RNA, 353 nt
Filed under: soil metagenome
Description: partial contains 5.8S ribosomal RNA, internal transcribed spacer 2, and large subunit ribosomal RNA
Rfam family: 5.8S ribosomal RNA (bases 1-120)
Source: RNAcentral